GGCAGGAACUUAUCUAGACUAGAUCUAGAUCCAAAAUCAGGGAUGCGCUGUGCCAAAACCUUGAUAUAUUUUACAUCUUCUUACUUCAAACAUCAAAACAAAAGACUUACAAACAAUAAAAAAGUGAUGUCUUUUGUGUAAAUGCUUAUGUUGAAAGAGCCUUUUUCAAUGAUCAAUGCACAGUUGGCUUACUUAAUGGAUACAGAUAUUCAUCUCCAUGGAAACAGUGAGAAGCAUUUCAAGAAAAUGUGCAUGGAAUUUCACACCUGAGUUACUGCAAAAAGUCAUUUCGUCUGAGAGAAGAAUCCAAUGGAGUUUGUCCAAGAGAGCACCUUGUUUUGGGUAGGACUAUUCAGGCAGUAUGCAGUACUCAAGGUGGGAGCCCAUAUCUCAGUUAGUUCCGUUGUCACAAGAUUCUACACCUCUGAAGGAACUGAGGAAUUUCAUUAAAGAUGUUUAACAGGUACUCUGAUACAUAACAGAAAAUAAAUUGAAAGCCUCAGAUGGAUUGAGCUUAUCAAAAGUAAAACCAAACUCAAGACCAUAUAAGAAACACAGUGGGUCAGUGGCUCUGUCAUCUUCAGCAUCUUUCUAAUGAGGAGUUAAAUUAAUCACCAGGUGCAGGACUGACUACAUUUUCUAAGACUGCUAGGAUAUUGCCACUGAAUCAAACACCACCAUCAGAAAUAACUGAAAUAAAUAUUGAUGCUCUCAAGGCAAAUUUAAUAAAAUGUCCAGAAUGGCUCCAUUUGUCAAUGACAUUAUGCUUGAAACAGACAGCAACCUCAUUGUCAAUUAUGGACACAGUGUGAUUGACCUAGAGUUGAGAGAGAAAAGAACAUCCAAGCAAGGUCUCAAAUGUCAGUGUUUGAAAAAAACAUGAAGCUGAAUAUCACCAGUAAUGCAAAAUGUGCAGAAAGCUGGCACCCACACAUUUCUUUAAGAGUGUGAGCAUGAUGUUACAGCAGGAAGUAAUGACUCAAGGUGUGGUGCAGGCUGUAGUGAGACACCGAUUACAAAAGUUUGUUUGAUAGGUUUACAUUGCUGUGAUGAUUUGACUCCUGCCACGAAGUCAACUCUUUCAUACCGUCACCUGUGUAGGGUCUCUACCUUGCAUCUCAUAUUGUUGCCAAAAAAUGGUGUAUUCAUCAGCCUAGAAAGAACUAGAAUUUGUGGUCAUUCUAGGAUUUUUGUCUACCUCGCUGCCUGGUGGUGCGAACUUAUUGAUGGUCCUGGGUUCAAACCCUGCCCACUCUCAUCCCCAUCAUCCUGCGGGAGGUUUGGACUGGGAAGUAAAUUAUCUUCAACUCUGAAGGAACAUCCAAAACAUAAAAUGAAGAGAAAAUGUCACCAGCAAGACACAACUAUGAGAAAGAUGAACAGCCAUAAUUAUGUCUCUACAUUUUGAAAUAGCAUUUGAUCAAUACUGUAGAUUAUGACAACCUUAAGCACUAGAGAUAUAAACAGAAUUACAGAGAUGUGGCAUACAGACAGGCAGUUGGCUCUAAGGAUCUGUCAUCUUCUUAGAAGAAAGAGAAGAGUAGUACCCCUUGUGUUGUUUUCCCUAGUCAAAGUUAUGCAGGCAUUAAAAUAGCCUUGAUUUUGAUCAAUGUACUGAUAAGUAAUAAAUGUGAAGUGCACAAAAACA
Molecule: long non-coding RNA, 1648 nt
Organism: Biomphalaria glabrata
Lineage: Eukaryota; Metazoa; Mollusca; Gastropoda; Planorbidae
Exons: 12
Source: RefSeq, a predicted model, not a curated record